RNAcentral lists this ribosomal RNA (450 nucleotides) under Pseudomonas sp. RNAcentral's name for it is "bacterial SSU rRNA". It matches the Rfam family "Bacterial small subunit ribosomal RNA", at positions 57 to 503 of the family's 1533-position model. Lineage: Bacteria; Pseudomonadati; Pseudomonadota; Gammaproteobacteria; Pseudomonadales; Pseudomonadaceae. The record is from RNAcentral.
GCAGUCGAGCGGUAGAGAGAAGCUUGCUUCUCUUGAGAGCGGCGGACGGGUGAGUAAUGCCUAGGAAUCUGCCUGGUAGUGGGGGAUAACGUUCGGAAACGGACGCUAAUACCGCAUACGUCCUACGGGAGAAAGCAGGGGACCUUCGGGCCUUGCGCUAUCAGAUGAGCCUAGGUCGGAUUAGCUAGUUGGUGGGGUAAUGGCUCACCAAGGCGACGAUCCGUAACUGGUCUGAGAGGAUGAUCAGUCACACUGGAACUGAGACACGGUCCAGACUCCUACGGGAGGCAGCAGUGGGGAAUAUUGGACAAUGGGCGAAAGCCUGAUCCAGCCAUGCCGCGUGUGUGAAGAAGGUCUUCGGAUUGUAAAGCACUUUAAGUUGGGAGGAAGGGUUGUAGAUUAAUACUCUGCAAUUUUGACGUUACCGACAGAAUAAGCACCGGCUAACUC